UACGGAGGGUGCGAGCGUUGUUCGGAAUCACUGGGCGUAAAGGGCGUGUAGGCGGUCCGCUAAGUCUGAUGUGAAAGCCCGGGGCUCACCCCCGGAAGGGCAUUGGAAACUAACGGACUCGAGUCCCGAAGAGGAGGGUGGAAUUCCUGGUGUAGCGGUGAAAUGCGUAGAUAUCAGGAGGAACACCGGUGGCGAAGGCGGCCCUCUGGACGGUGACUGACGCUGAGACGCGAAAGCGUGGGGAGCAAACAGG
Molecule: ribosomal RNA, 253 nt
Filed under: uncultured bacterium
Lineage: Bacteria
Description: partial 16S ribosomal RNA
Rfam family: Bacterial small subunit ribosomal RNA
Source: RNAcentral